UGCAACUAGAUGGACCUGCUUGGA
Molecule: non-coding RNA, 24 nt
Filed under: Mus musculus (house mouse)
Lineage: Eukaryota; Metazoa; Chordata; Mammalia; Rodentia; Muridae
Source: RNAcentral